UCUGCCCCAAGAGGUGCUGGCUGCUGUGUCACAUCGCAUUAGUAGGUGUCAGAGAGCAGCAAUAUCUAAUGCUCUAUGUUCUGACCUGUGAACAUCUGAUUGGUAGCAUA
Molecule: small nucleolar RNA, 110 nt
Filed under: Meriones unguiculatus (Mongolian gerbil)
Lineage: Eukaryota; Metazoa; Chordata; Mammalia; Rodentia; Muridae
Description: Small nucleolar RNA SNORA17 (ENSMUGG00000023845.1)
Rfam family: Small nucleolar RNA SNORA17
About the family: snoRNA ACA 17 belongs to the H/ACA family of snoRNAs and is predicted to guide pseudouridylation of the 28S rRNA at positions U4659 and U4598. It shares the same host gene together with ACA43.
Source: RNAcentral